CCUACGGGAGGCAGCAGUGGGGGAUAUUGGACAAUGGGGGAAACCCUGAUCCAGCGACGCCGCGUGAGUGAAGAAGUAUUUCUGUAUGUAAAGCUCUAUCAGCAGGGAAGAAAGAAAUGACGGUACCUGAGUAAGAAGCCCCGGCUAACUACGUGCCAGCAGCCGCGGGAAUACGUAGGGGGCAAGCGUUAACCGGAAUUACUGGGUGUAAAGGGAGCGUAGACGGUAAUGCAAGUCUGGAGUGAAAGGCGGGGGGCCAACCCCCGGACUGCUCUGGAAACUGUGUAACUGGAGUGCAGGAGAGGCAGGCGGAAUGCGUAGUGUAGCGGUGAAAUGCGUAGAUAUUAGGAGGAACACCAGUGGCGAAGGCGGCCUGCUGGACUGUAACUGACGUUGAGGCUCGAAAGCGUGGGGAGCAAACAGGAUUAGAUACCCUUGUAGUC
RNAcentral lists this ribosomal RNA (443 nucleotides) under uncultured bacterium. RNAcentral describes it as "partial 16S ribosomal RNA". It matches the Rfam family "Bacterial small subunit ribosomal RNA", at positions 338 to 795 of the family's 1533-position model. The record is from RNAcentral.